Sinocyclocheilus grahami is the source of this 1058-nucleotide long non-coding RNA. Ensembl annotates it as transmembrane protein 88-like. NCBI's taxonomy places the organism in Eukaryota, Metazoa, Chordata, Actinopteri, Cypriniformes, Cyprinidae. The record is from Ensembl.
UUUGACGUGGGUGACGGGAUCCGGAUGCUGCCGCCUCCUCCGGCUCAGUGUGACGGCGGGGUCUGGGGGGCCCGGCGGGGCCACUGCGGGUGUGUGCUGUGGACGCUGCUGCUGCUGCUGUGGAAUGUCCUGCUGCUGCUGGGGUGUGUGGGGCUGAUGGUCCUGAUCUUCAGUCUCAUUCUGCUGCCUGCCGCCCUGCUGCUGUACGCCGGCUUCCUGUGCCAUUCACGGGUUGUGGCUUCUCAGGCUGCUCUCUGCCAUUACCUUGACGACAACAGUUGCUCUGCCCUCAUCAUCCUGGGCUUUGUCAUGAUGUCUCCGCUGGUUGUGGUUGCUGCUGCCACGUUCUGCGCUCUUCUCAGGCGGCUCCACCUUCUCUUAUAUUUUCAGCCAAUCGCAGAAGCUCGGUACCAAGGGCGGGGCUUGGGCUGGAGGCGGGACAUCCAUGCCUGGGUUUGACUGACAGACGCACCCACCAUUCUUAGGUCAGCGUCCGAGGUGACCUUUAGCAGCAUAGUGUAAAGGUCAAAGGGUGAAUGAUGUCACAGGACAGCGACGGCGUUACCGUAACUCUAUAGAAACAUAAUCAUGUAAAGUGUGUAACACAAUGUAUAUAAUAUAUCCCUGAAUGACCAAAAUAUAACUCUGGAAAUGUUUUUAAGAGAAUCCUGUUUCAGCCAAUUCAAUCUUUUCACAUGAUUGAGAAAUUGAUGCAAAAUUCAAGAGUAAGUGUUACUGUUACCAUAUUAUAUUAUAUGACUACUUUAUUUCCGCACAUGCUAGAUUCGUUAAGUCUGUUUGCGCGCAAUAUAUGACGAUGCUCUGUGCGACGCGAUCACACAAAUGCACAUCAUCACAAUGAAAAAUAUUUCUUUGUUCUGAAGAAAACCAAGGUGUUACAGACUUCUAUGUAACGCGAUUUGAGUGUUACCAAACUGACGUUUCGUGGUUUAUGAAUAAGUGUAGUAGUUUAGAGAUGAGCUUUCUCGCUCAUGUCGAUGUUUAUAUUGGUUGGUCAGCUGUGUGAUUCAAAUGUGCAGAAAUGUUAAUAAACCAAC